RNAcentral lists this ribosomal RNA (613 nucleotides) under uncultured prokaryote. RNAcentral's name for it is "bacterial SSU rRNA". It matches the Rfam family "Bacterial small subunit ribosomal RNA", at positions 789 to 1407 of the family's 1533-position model. The record is from RNAcentral.
GGUAGUCCACACCGUAAACGAUGAUUACUCGAUGCUAGCGAUAUACUGUUAGUGUCUAAGCGAAAGCGAUAAGUAAUCCACCUGGGGAGUACGGUCGCAAGAUUGAAACUCAAAGGAAUUGACGGGGGCCCGCACAAGCGGUGGAGCAUGUGGUUUAAUUCGAUGAUACGCGAGGAACCUUACCUGGGCUUAAAUGUAUUUUGACAGGCUGGGAAACCAGUCCUUCUUCGGACAAUUUACAAGGUGCUGCAUGGUUGUCGUCAGCUCGUGCUGUGAGGUGUCGGGUUAAGUCCCAUAACGAGCGCAACCCCUAUCCUUAGUUGCCAGCGAGUAAUGUCGGGGACUCUAAGGAAACUGCCGGUGCAAACCGUGAGGAAGGUGGGGAUGACGUCAAAUCAUCACGGCCCUUACGUCCAGGGCUACACACGUGCUACAAUGGCGCAUACAAAGGGCAGCUACAUGGUGACAUGAUGCUAAUCUCUAAAGUGCGUCUCAGUUCGGAUCGAAGUCUGCAACUCGACUUCGUGAAGCUGGAAUCGCUAGUAAUCGUAUAUCAGCAAUGAUACGGUGAAUACGUUCCCGGGCCUUGUACACACCGCCCGUCAAGCCAUGG